UAAGGAAUAUUGGUCAAUGGACGCAAGUCUGAACCAGCCAUGCCGCGUGAAGGAUGAAGGCCCUCUGGGUUGUAAACUUCUUUUAUCUGGGACGAAAAACGGACUUUCUAGUUCACUUGACGGUACCAGAGGAAUAAGCACCGGCUAACUCCGUGCCAGCAGCCGCGGUAAUACGGAGGGUGCAAGCGUUAUCCGGAUUUACUGGGUUUAAAGGGUGCGUAGGUGGGUAGGUAAGUCAGUGGUGAAAUCUUCAAGCUUAACUUGGAAACUGCCAUUGAUACUAUUUAUCUUGAAUACUUUGGAGGUAAGCGGAAUAUGUCAUGUAGCGGUGAAAUGCUUAGAUAUGACAUAGAACACCAAUUGCGAAGGCAGCUUACUACACAGUUAUUGACACUGAGGCACGAAAGCGUGGGGAUCAAACAGGAUUAGAUACCCCCGUAGUCC
Molecule: ribosomal RNA, 444 nt
Filed under: uncultured bacterium
Lineage: Bacteria
Description: bacterial SSU rRNA
Rfam family: Bacterial small subunit ribosomal RNA
Source: RNAcentral